GUCGAGCGGUAAGGCCCUUCGGGGUACACGAGCGGCGAACGGGUGAGUAACACGUGAGCAACCUGCCCCCGACUCCGGGAUAAGCGGUGGAAACGCCGUCUAAUACCGGAUACGACACACCGCCUCAUGGCGGUGUGUGGAAAGUUUUUCGGUCGGGGAUGGGCUCGCGGCCUAUCAGCUUGUUGGUGGGGUAACGGCCUACCAAGGCGAUUACGGGUAGCCGGCCUGAGAGGGCGACCGGCCACACUGGGACUGAGACACGGCCCAGACUCCUGCGGGAGGCAGCAGUGGGGAAUAUUGCGCAAUGGGCGAAAGCCUGACGCAGCGACGCCGCGUGGGGGAUGACGGCCUUCGGGUUGUAAACCUCUUUUACCACCAACGCAGGCUCCCAGUUCUCUGGGGGUUGACGGUAGGUGGGGAAUAAGGACCGGCUAACUACGUGCCAGCAGCCGCGGUAAUACGUAGGGUCCGAGCGUUGUCCGGAAUUAUUGGGCGUAAAGAGCUCGUAGGCGGCGUGUCGCGUCUGCUGUGAAAGACCGGGGCUUAACUCCGGUUCUGCAGUGGAUACGGGCAUGCUAGAGGUAGGUAGGGGAGACUGGAAUUCCUGGUGUAGCGGUGAAAUGCGCAGAUAUCAGGAGGAACACC
This 645-nucleotide ribosomal RNA is filed under the name Nocardiopsis sp. AE72. Its description in RNAcentral is "bacterial SSU rRNA". It matches the Rfam family "Bacterial small subunit ribosomal RNA", at positions 61 to 710 of the family's 1533-position model. The record is from RNAcentral. Lineage: Bacteria; Bacillati; Actinomycetota; Actinomycetes; Streptosporangiales; Nocardiopsidaceae.